This 404-nucleotide ribosomal RNA is filed under the name Verrucomicrobiota bacterium. Its description in RNAcentral is "Verrucomicrobia bacterium partial 16S ribosomal RNA". It matches the Rfam family "Bacterial small subunit ribosomal RNA", at positions 355 to 776 of the family's 1533-position model. The record is from RNAcentral. Lineage: Bacteria; Pseudomonadati; Verrucomicrobiota.
UGGGGAAUAUUGCACAAUGGGGGAAACCCUGAUGCAGCGACGCCGCGUGAGCGAAGAAGGUUUUCGAAUCGUAAAGCUCUGUCCUAUGAGAAGAUAAUGACGGUAACCGGAGAAGAAGCCCCGGCUAACUUCGUGCCAGCAGCCGCGGUAAUACGAAGGGGGCAAGCGUUGUUCGGAUUUACUGGGCGUAAAGCGCACGUAGGCGGACUUUUAAGUCAGGGGUGAAAUCCCGGGGCUCAACCCCGGAACUGCCUUUGAUACUGGAAGUCUUGAGUAUGGUAGAGGUGAGUGGAAUUCCGAGUGUAGAGGUGAAAUUCGUAGAUAUUCGGAGGAACACCAGUGGCGAAGGCGGCUCACUGGACCAUUACUGACGCUGAGGUGCGAAAGCGUGGGGAGCAAACAGG